RNAcentral lists this ribosomal RNA (481 nucleotides) under uncultured bacterium. Its description in RNAcentral is "bacterial SSU rRNA". It matches the Rfam family "Bacterial small subunit ribosomal RNA", at positions 28 to 508 of the family's 1533-position model. The record is from RNAcentral.
GAUGAACGCUAGCGGCAGGCCUAAUACAUGCAAGUCGAGGGGUAUUGGAAGCUUGCUUCCAAGAGACCGGCGCACGGGUGCGUAACGCGUAUGCAACCUACCUUCACCUGGGGGAUAGCCCGGAGAAAUCCGGAUUAAUACCGCAUAAAAUCACAGUACCGCAUGGUACAAUGAUCAAACAUUCAUGGGGAGAAGAUGGGCAUGCGUGCCAUUAGUUAGUUGGCGGGGUAACGGCCCACCAAGACCGCGAUGGCUAGGGGAUCUGAGAGGAUGGCCCCCCACACUGGUACUGAGACACGGACCAGACUCCUACGGGAGGCAGCAGUAAGGAAUAUUGGUCAAUGGGCGCAAGCCUGAACCAGCCAUGCCGCGUGCAGGAAGACGGCCCUCUGGGUUGUAAACUGCUUUUAUUCGGGAAUAAACCUAUCUACGUGUAGAUAGCUGAAUGUACCGAAGGAAUAAGGAUCGGCUAACUCCGUGC